Long non-coding RNA from Globicephala melas (long-finned pilot whale), 1106 nucleotides. RefSeq lists it as uncharacterized. The record is from RefSeq and is a predicted model, not a curated record. NCBI's taxonomy places the organism in Eukaryota, Metazoa, Chordata, Mammalia, Artiodactyla, Delphinidae.
AUGCAUCCAGUGUCCUUUUUUAAAAAAAAUGUUUUUUUGGCCGCUCUGCAAGGCUUGUGGAAUCUUAGCUCCCCACCAGGGAUUGAACCCAGGUCACGGCAGUGAAAGCGCUGAGUCCUAACCACUGGACCACCAGGGGAUUCCCUCCAGUAUCCUUUUUUAUAUAUAGGUAUGACAUAUCUCUUUGUCCCUUUUGAUAUUUCCCGGUCUUGAGUUUUAUUUUGUCAUAUAUUAGAAUUUCUAGUUUUGGAUAAUUAAACAUCUUUCAAGAUUACAAAAAUUAUAUACGAAUAAAUGCUCCUCUCAUUGAGAUGUGGGGUCUGUGUUUUCUUCCCUUCAAUUUGGGGGAGUUGGUGACUUCACCGACCAGUAGAGUAUGGCAGAAGUGAAGUCAUGUGACGUCUGAAGCUCGGUCAUAAGAAGCAUGCAGUUUCCUUCUUGUUUGCUAGAACACCCACUCUUGAAGCCCUGUCUCCACCUAAGAAGUUUGGUUACUCUGAGACCACCAUGCUGUGAGGAAGCCCAAGCCACGUGGAGAGGCCAUGCAUAAGUGCUCCGUCUAUAGUCCCUCCUGAGCAUAGCCUUCGAGUCAUCUCAGCCCAGGUGCCAGACACAUAAGGGAAGAAGAUUCCAGAUGUUCCUCCUCAUUUUCUGAGAUACUCUCAGCUUUUGAGCCCUCCCUGCUGAGGCCCCAGACAUCAUGGAGCAGAGACAAGCCGUCCCUGGCUGUUGGUGACUCAGCCACUCAACAAGCACCACUGGGGGCCACUGAAUGCAGAACACCAUCAGACCUGCUAUGAAGAGACACAGAGGACCCUCAGAAGGAAAAAACCCACCCCAGACCCAAGAACAAUAUAGAAGAUUUACGCUGAGAAAUCCUUGUGAUGAUAUCGAGCCACCUGGAGAAUUUCCCAUCUCAGGAUCCUUACCUUAAUCACACCUGCAGAACGCCUUCCUUUUGCCGUGUAAGAGACCCUGGAAGACCCCUCACCCCUCUGCCAUGGGAGGAUGUACCGAAAAGUCACAGGUCUUUGACCCAGAAGAAGCCCCUCACGUGACCUUGCUGGUACCCUGAUCCUGGACUUGCAGCCUCCAGAACUGUGAGC